ACGAAGGGUGCAAGCGUUACUCGGAAUUACUGGGCGUAAAGCGUGCGUAGGUGGUUCGUUAAGUCUGAUGUGAAAGCCCUGGGCUCAACCUGGGAAUGGCAUUGGAAACUGGCGACCUAGAGUGCGGUAGAGGGUAGUGGAAUUCCCGGUGUAGCAGUGAAAUGCGUAGAGAUCGGGAGGAACACCGGUGGCGAAGGCGGGUCUCUGGGCAUUUCCUGACGCUGAGGCGCGAAAGCGUGGGGAGCAAACGGGA
Molecule: ribosomal RNA, 253 nt
Filed under: uncultured prokaryote
Description: partial 16S ribosomal RNA
Rfam family: Bacterial small subunit ribosomal RNA
Source: RNAcentral